RNAcentral lists this ribosomal RNA (144 nucleotides) under Metazoa environmental sample. Its description in RNAcentral is "partial small subunit ribosomal RNA". It matches the Rfam family "Eukaryotic small subunit ribosomal RNA", at positions 1296 to 1460 of the family's 1831-position model. Lineage: Eukaryota; Metazoa. The record is from RNAcentral.
AGUUAGUGGAGUGAUCUGUCUGGUUAAUUCCGAUAACGAACGAGAUCCUAGCCAUUUAAAUAGAAGUAGUAACUUCGGUUGCUAUGAACUUCUUAGAGGAACUAUGCGGAAUAUAAUACCGCAAGGAAGUGGGGCUAUAACAGG